This 587-nucleotide ribosomal RNA is filed under the name uncultured bacterium. RNAcentral describes it as "bacterial SSU rRNA". It matches the Rfam family "Bacterial small subunit ribosomal RNA", at positions 338 to 917 of the family's 1533-position model. The record is from RNAcentral.
CCUACGGGAGGCAGCAGUGGGGAAUAUUGGACAAUGGGGGCAACCCUGAUCCAGCCAUGCCGCGUGUGUGAAGAAGGCCCUCGGGUUGUAAAGCACUUUCAGCGAGGAAGAACGCCUAGCGGUUAAUACCCGCUAGGAAAGACAUCACUCGCAGAAGAAGCACCGGCUAACUCCGUGCCAGCAGCCGCGGUAAUACGGAGGGUGCAAGCGUUAAUCGGAAUUACUGGGCGUAAAGCGCGCGUAGGUGGCUUGAUAAGCCGGUUGUGAAAGCCCCGGGCUCAACCUGGGAACGGCAUCCGGAACUGUCAAGCUAGAGUGCAGGAGAGGAAGGUAGAAUUCCCGGUGUAGCGGUGAAAUGCGUAGAGAUCGGGAGGAAUACCAGUGGCGAAGGCGGCCUUCUGGACUGACACUGACACUGAGGUGCGAAAGCGUGGGUAGCAAACAGGAUUAGAUACCCUGGUAGUCCACGCCGUAAACGAUGUCGUCCAGCCGUUGGGUGCCUAGCGCACUUUGUGGCGAAGUUAACGCGAUAAGUCGACCGCCUGGGGAGUACGGCCGCAAGGUUAAAACUCAAAUGAAUUGACGGA